This 662-nucleotide long non-coding RNA is filed under the name Lactuca sativa (garden lettuce). RNAcentral's name for it is "long non-coding RNA (LSAT_LNC005303)". Lineage: Eukaryota; Viridiplantae; Streptophyta; Magnoliopsida; Asterales; Asteraceae. The record is from RNAcentral.
GUGUAUCGAGGUAUCCGAAUUUAUUGCAUUGGAUUUCGGAUAAUUUUGAGUCUGGAGUGGAGACGGCAGGUGGUGGGUCAAGCAUCUAUGAUUGUAGUGGGAGUCCUUUCGGUUAAUGAAAACAACUGAGAUUUUCCAAGAAUAUGGAUUGCAUCAGAGAAGGGUGUUUUAUUAUGGCGAUUGCUGUCAGAUAUAGUGAUGCCUAAUUCAGGUAAGGGCAUGCACCUAUCUUUGAUUGGUCCGCGGAAUAUGUAUUAGUGAAAGGUGUGGUGAUACUGCGGGAAGCCGUAGUACUCAUCAGUUAGUGAGAAGUUGUGGUGAUACUGCAGGAAGCUGUAGUACUCACUAGUCAGUGAAAGGUGUGGUGAUACUACGAGAAGCCGUAGUACUCAUCAGUCGGUGAGAAGUUGUGGUGAUACUACGGGAAGCCGUAGUACUCAUCAGUCGGUGAGAAGUUGUGGUGAUACUGCGGGAAGCCGUAGUACUCACCAGUCAGUGAAAGGUGUGGUGAUACUACGGGAAGCCGUAGUACUCAUCAGUCGGUGAGAAGUUGUGGUGAUACUGCGGGAAGCCGUAGUACUCACCAGUCAGUGAAAGGUGUGGUGAUACUACGGGAAGCUUUAGUACUCACUGGUCAGUGAGAGGUUGUGGUGAUACUGUGA